UACAAGCCCGUCUCGUACGGCAAC
RNAcentral lists this ribosomal RNA (24 nucleotides) under Verticillium albo-atrum. Its description in RNAcentral is "partial 28S ribosomal RNA". Lineage: Eukaryota; Fungi; Ascomycota; Sordariomycetes; Glomerellales; Plectosphaerellaceae. The record is from RNAcentral.